RNAcentral lists this ribosomal RNA (480 nucleotides) under uncultured bacterium. RNAcentral describes it as "bacterial SSU rRNA". It matches the Rfam family "Bacterial small subunit ribosomal RNA", at positions 28 to 496 of the family's 1533-position model. The record is from RNAcentral.
GAUGAACGCUAGCUACAGGCUUAACACAUGCAAGUCGAGGGGAAACGACAUCGAAAGCUUGCUUUUGAUGGGCGUCGACCGGCGCACGGGUGAGUAACGCGUAUCCAACCUGCCCACCACUUGGGGAUAACCUUGCGAAAGUAAGACUAAUACCCAAUGACGUCUCUAGAAGACAUCUGAAAGGGAUUAAAGAUUUAUCGGUGAUGGAUGGGGAUGCGUCUGAUUAGCUUGUUGGCGGGGUAACGGCCCACCAAGGCGACGAUCAGUAGGGGUUCUGAGAGGAAGGUCCCCCACAUUGGAACUGAGACACGGUCCAAACUCCUGCGGGAGGCAGCAGUGAGGAAUAUUGGUCAAAUGGGCGAGAGCUUGAACCAGCCAAGUAGCGUGCAGGAUGACGGCCCUAUGGGUUGUAAACUGCUUUAUAAGGAAUAAAGUGAGUCUCGUGAGACUUUUUGCAUGUACCUUAUGAAUAAGGACCGG